ACUUUACAUCCUCCAAUUUCUCCAAGUUAUUUUACUCUCUCAAAAUGCUUGAUGUGUCAUUCUUUUAUUAAUGUUGGUUUACCUGUUUCAUAUUAACAGAAGGCUUAUGGUUUCCUGUAGGUUUAAGAAAACAUGAUGCCUUCUCUUCCCCACUAGAAAUGCUUUCCCAGGUAAAAAACAUCUAUAUAUUCUUUUUUGUUUAACGUGUUUGUAUGAUUAAGGAGGGGUUUGUUCCGUUUCAGUUUCAUUAUCCUCAUUUCAUUCAAACUUUGGUUUGACCCCUUCUAAAAAAUCUCUCUAAUUAUCUGGAGCCAUUUCAAAUUUCAUCAUUAUCCUCAUAAAUCUUCUUCCCCCAUCUGUGGUUCUAUUUCUAAAAACAGGGACCGAUGAUCUUCACCAUUCUAUGUUGUAGUGUCGAGAAGAAAUUUUGAGCCUGGUGGAUCGUUGAUGUAAUGUUUGAAUUCUAUUUUAAUAUGUUUUUUCCAGUUUUCGCUAAUUUUGAUAAGCCUUUUAAUGUAAGGUUUGCAUUCUCUGUUACAUGGUUUAGCUUGAAUAUUAAUAUCUUAUUUAUAUAUCUACAUGGGAAGAGGAGUAGUAGAUUUACAAGCUGCAGGCUAUGUAUGUUUUUAGUGUUAAAAGUUGAAUUCAUGAGGCACAUCAUGCACACCAUGUGUUUGAUAAGAAUUCCCAAUCAGUAUUUAAUUGUCAAUAUAAAUUAUAAACCUAUUUUUUAUGUUUUUUUGAUGCAGAUAUGUUAUAGGGAACUACAUUGCUGAGAAAUCAGCAGCACUCAUUAAAAUCCCACACUUGAUUUAUUUGGCUUAAGUUAACAACCAUUAUUUUCAUCUAUUACUAUUUACUACCAUACUUUACUAGAUAUACUUUAGUAGAUGGAGAAAUCACAUAAGUUUCAUUUUACGAAUCAAAAAAAGAUAUGGAAAAAAAGAAGAAAUGAAGGGUCUAUUAAGGUUGCUUGUAUGUUUUGGUGUAGAAAUAUGAAUAAAUGGCAAAUUGGUCUCUUUUUGGUUUAUGUUGCAAGUUAUAUGUCUAUUCAAGGUUUUAUUGUUUUAGGUUGAUUUCGUUGUUCGAAUUAGUCAAAGUAAGAGAAUUGAAUUGUAAUGUCGUCUUUUUUAUUACAAAUUCAACAAGGAAAGAACUAUGUCGAGUGAGAA
This 1172-nucleotide long non-coding RNA is filed under the name Lactuca sativa (garden lettuce). RNAcentral's name for it is "long non-coding RNA (LSAT_LNC008443)". The record is from RNAcentral. Lineage: Eukaryota; Viridiplantae; Streptophyta; Magnoliopsida; Asterales; Asteraceae.